CACCUUGAAGAUGCGCGCGUCGGCCUCGCUCAGGUCUUUGCGCGCGAAGUGCUUCCAGGGCACGCGGAAACAGGUGCGGGCCUCGUCCAGCCACUGCAGCCCCUCAUAGCAGCCGCUGCUGAUCUCUCCAAGGAGCCACUCUCCGAACAGCACGCGUGGGGCUGCCCUGCGGGUGUCCGGCCGCGGAGAGUCAGGGCCGGCUGCAGGGCGCUCGGGGACUGGCAUCUGGAGAGGGUGGGGAGGGCGAGUGGGAACCAAGGUGGUCCCCGUGACUGGCAGGAUAAAGGUGCAUUCCUUGUGGAUGGUUGAGGGAGUGGGUGGGAGUCUUGGGCACACUGGAUGGGGUGUCUGCUGGACAAGGGGUCAGUGACGGGGACUCCACAGCUCAGGGCAGAGUCUGGACUGGAGGAAAUGUGGGCAUCACCCUCGGGGGGUGGCAUUUGAAACCACACCCUGGCUGACGUCAUCAAAGACUGG
Molecule: long non-coding RNA, 477 nt
Filed under: Pan troglodytes (chimpanzee)
Lineage: Eukaryota; Metazoa; Chordata; Mammalia; Primates; Hominidae
Description: long non-coding RNA NONPTRT002471
Source: RNAcentral